ACGCUCGACACCUACGGGAGGCAGCAGUAGGGAAUCUUCCACAAUGGACGCAAGUCUGAUGGAGCAACGCCGCGUGAGUGAAGAAGGUCUUCGGAUCGUAAAACUCUGUUGUUAGAGAAGAACACGAGUGAGAGUAACUGUUCAUUCGAUGACGGUAUCUAACCAGCAAGUCACGGCUAACUACGUGCAAGCAGCCGCGGUAAUCUGGAGCGGGCUGGCAAGGC
Molecule: ribosomal RNA, 224 nt
Filed under: uncultured bacterium
Lineage: Bacteria
Description: partial 16S ribosomal RNA
Rfam family: Bacterial small subunit ribosomal RNA
Source: RNAcentral